AACGAACGCUGGCGGCAUGCCUAACACAUGCAAGUCGAACGAGACCUUCGGGUCUAGUGGCGCACGGGUGCGUAACGCGUGGGAAUCUGCCCUUGGGUUCGGAAUAACUCAGAGAAAUUUGAGCUAAUACCGGAUGAUGACGUAAGUCCAAAGAUUUAUCGCCCAAGGAUGAGCCCGCGUAGGAUUAGCUAGUUGGUGAGGUAAAGGCUCACCAAGGCGACGAUCCUUAGCUGGUCUGAGAGGAUGAUCAGCCACACUGGGACUGAGACACGGCCCAGACUCCUACGGGAGGCAGCAGUGGGGAAUAUUGGACAAUGGGCGAAAGCCUGAUCCAGCAAUGCCGCGUGAGUGAUGAAGGCCUUAGGGUUGUAAAGCUCUUUUACCCGGGAUGAUAAUGACAGUACCGGGAGAAUAAGCUCCGGCUAACUCCGUGCCAGCCGCCGCGGUAA
Molecule: ribosomal RNA, 449 nt
Filed under: uncultured bacterium
Lineage: Bacteria
Description: partial 16S ribosomal RNA
Rfam family: Bacterial small subunit ribosomal RNA
Source: RNAcentral